Molecule: ribosomal RNA, 636 nt
Filed under: uncultured bacterium
Lineage: Bacteria
Description: bacterial SSU rRNA
Rfam family: Bacterial small subunit ribosomal RNA
Source: RNAcentral
UUUGAUCCAUGGCUCAGAUUGAACGCUGGCGGCAUGCCUUACACAUGCAAGUCGAACGGCAGCACGGACUUCGGUCUGGUGGCGAGUGGCGAACGGGUGAGUAAAGCAUCGGAACGUGCCCGAUCGUGGGGGAUAACGCAGCGAAAGCUGCGCUAAUACCGCAUAAGAUCUACGGAUGAAAGCGGGGGACUCGCAAGAGCCUCGCGCGAACGGAGCGGCCGAUGUCAGAUUAGGUAGUUGGUGGGGUAAAGGCCCACCAAGCCGACGAUCUGUAGCUGGUCUGAGAGGACGACCAGCCACACUGGGACUGAGACACGGCCCAGACUCCUACGGGAGGCAGCAGUGGGGAAUUUUGGACAAUGGGCGCAAGCCUGAUCCAGCCAUGCCGCGUGCAGGAAGAAGGCCUUCGGGUUGUAAACUGCUUUUGUACGGAGCGAAAAGGCCCCUACUAACACUGGGGGUCCAUGACGGUACCGUAAGAAUAAGCACCGGCUAACUACGUGCCAGCAGCCGCGGUAAUACGUAGGGUGCAAGCGUUAAUCGGAAUUACUGGGCGUAAAGCGUGCGCAGGCGGUUUUGUAAGACAGAGGUGAAAUCCCCGGGCUCAACCUGGGAACUGCACUUGUGACUGCAAAA